GACGAACGCUGGCGGCGUGCCUAAUACAUGCAAGUCGAGCGAACUUUCUCUUGUGUUUGUACUAGAAAUACUUAACGGCGAACGGGCGCGUAACACGUCAAGACCCUGCCUCUUAGUAAGGGACAACUAUUGUAACUGAUAGCUAAUACGGGAUUACAGCAUUAACUGCAUGGCUGAUGUUUAACAGUUGUUUUUGCUAACUCUAUGAGAUGGCUUUGCGGUGCAUUAGCUAGUUGGUGGGGUAAUGGCCUACCACGGCGACGAUGCAUAGUCGUCGUGAGAGGGUGAGCGUGCACACUGAGACUGAGACUCGGACCAGACCCCGACGCGAGGCAGCAGUAGGGAUGCUUCGGCAAUGGGCGAAAGCCUGACGGAGCAACGCCGCGUGAGUGAAGAAGGAUUACGGUUCGGAAAGCUCUGUUUUUAGGGAAGAAUGAGUGUGUAGUAACGUGUGGGAGUAGAGACGUUACCGAACUAGAAAGCCACGGCUAACUACGUG
This 499-nucleotide ribosomal RNA is filed under the name uncultured bacterium. RNAcentral's name for it is "partial 16S ribosomal RNA". It matches the Rfam family "Bacterial small subunit ribosomal RNA", at positions 28 to 507 of the family's 1533-position model. The record is from RNAcentral.